GUAAGCAAGACGAUUGCGGCCCCACAAGGGCUGAGGAAAGUCCGAGCACCGCAGGGCAGGGUGCCGGGUAACACCCGGCGAUGGCGACAUCAGGGAAAGUGCAACAGAAAUAAACCGCCCGCUUUAUGCAGGCAAGGAUGGAAAGGCGAGGCAAGAGCUCACCGGCGGUCCGGCGACGGAUCGGCCAUGUAAACCCCACCCGGUGCAAGAUUGGAAUGGGAGCAUUCAACAGCGGCCCGCUGCGCUCCUGAUAAUCGCAUGAGCCGUCUGGCAACAGCCGGCCUCAGAUAGAUAAUCGUCCGCGGGGCGACCCGCGACAGAACUCGGCUUACUGCUUG
This 338-nucleotide RNase P RNA is filed under the name bovine gut metagenome. RNAcentral's name for it is "Bacterial RNase P class A". It matches the Rfam family "Bacterial RNase P class A". From Rfam's summary of the family: Ribonuclease P (RNase P) is a ubiquitous endoribonuclease, found in archaea, bacteria and eukarya as well as chloroplasts and mitochondria. Its best characterised activity is the generation of mature 5'-ends of tRNAs by cleaving the 5'-leader elements of precursor-tRNAs. Cellular RNase Ps are ribonucleoproteins. The record is from RNAcentral.